RNAcentral lists this ribosomal RNA (253 nucleotides) under uncultured bacterium. Its description in RNAcentral is "partial 16S ribosomal RNA". It matches the Rfam family "Bacterial small subunit ribosomal RNA", at positions 524 to 776 of the family's 1533-position model. The record is from RNAcentral.
UACGAGGGGGGCGAGCGUUGUUCGGAAUUAUUGGGCGUAAAGGGUGCGUAGGCGGUUUGGUAAGUCUGAUGUGAAAUCUAUGGGCUCAACUCAUAGUCUGCAUCGGAAACUGCCGGGCUUGAGUAUGGGAGAGGUGAGUGGAAUUCCUGGUGUAGCGGUGAAAUGCGUAGAUAUCAGGAGGAACACCUGUGGCGAAAGCGGCUCACUGGACCAUAACUGACGCUGAUGCACGAAAGCCAGGGGAGCAAACAGG